This 684-nucleotide ribosomal RNA is filed under the name Oenococcus oeni. RNAcentral's name for it is "bacterial LSU rRNA". It matches the Rfam family "Bacterial large subunit ribosomal RNA", at positions 1 to 689 of the family's 2925-position model. Lineage: Bacteria; Bacillati; Bacillota; Bacilli; Lactobacillales; Lactobacillaceae. The record is from RNAcentral.
GAUAGGUUAAGUUAAUAAGGGCGCAUGGUGGAUGCCUUGGCACUAGAAGGCGAUGAAGGACGUGACUAACUACGAUAUGCCUCGGUUAGCUGUAAGUAAGCUUACCCGGGGGUUUCCGAAUGGGGCAACCCGAUCUUAAUGAUCAUCAUCUUUUUGAAUUCAUAGAUUAGAUGAAGCAAACGCUGUGAACUGAAACAUCUAAGUAGCAGUAGGAAAGUAAAGAAAUUUCGAUUCCGUCAGUAGCGGCGAGCGAACGCGGAAGAGCCCAAACCUGGAUGCUUGCAUCCAGGGGUUGUAGGACUGAUGUUGAGUUACAAAGGUAUAAGAUAGCAGAAACAGUUGGGAAGCUGUUCCAAAGAGGGUGACAGGCCCGUAUGCGAAAUCUUGUACUCUCUAAUCAGGAUCCUGAGUACGGCCCAGCACGUGAAAUUGGGUCGGAAUCUGGGAGGACCAUCUCCCAAGGCUAAAUACUAACUAGUGACCGAUAGCGAACAAGUACCGUGAGGGAAAGGUGAAAAGAACCCCGGAAGGGGAGUGAAAUAGUUCUUGAAACCGUGUGCUUACAAGAAGUUCGAGGCCGUUAAUGGCUGAGAGCGUGCUUUUUGUAGAAUGAACCGGAGAGUUACGAUUGCGUGCAAGGUUAAGGUGCAAAGACUGGAGCCGUAGCGAAAGCGAGUCUUAAUA